RNAcentral lists this ribosomal RNA (440 nucleotides) under uncultured bacterium. RNAcentral describes it as "partial 16S ribosomal RNA". It matches the Rfam family "Bacterial small subunit ribosomal RNA", at positions 338 to 795 of the family's 1533-position model. The record is from RNAcentral.
CCUACGGGUGGCUGCAGUAGGGAAUAUUGCUCAAUGGGGGAAACCCUGAAGCAGCAACGCCGCGUGAAGGAUGAAGGUUUUCGGGUUGUAAACUCCUUUUGUUAGAGAAGAAAAUGACGGUAUCUAACGAAUAAGCACCGGCCAAUACCGUGCCAGCAGCCGCGGCAAUACGGAGGGUGCAGGCGUGACGCGGCAUAACUUGGCGUAGAGAGCGCGGAGGCGGGAUAGCAAGUCAGAUGUGAAAUCCGAGGCCUGAACCAGAGUACUGCAUUUGAUACUGUUAUUCUAGAGUAUGGGAGAGGUAGCUGGAAUUCUUGGUGUAGGGGUAAAAUGCGUAGAGAUCAAGAGGAAGACUCAUGGCGAAGGCGGGCUGCUAGAACAUAACUGACGCUGAUGCGCGAAAGCGUGGGGAGCAAACAGGAUUAGAUACCCCUGUAGUC